Molecule: ribosomal RNA, 468 nt
Filed under: uncultured bacterium
Lineage: Bacteria
Description: partial 16S ribosomal RNA
Rfam family: Bacterial small subunit ribosomal RNA
Source: RNAcentral
GACGAACGCUGGCGGCGUGCUUAACACAUGCAAGUCGAACGGAAAGGCCCUGCUUUUGUGGGGUGCUCGAGUGGCGAACGGGUGAGUAACACGUGAGUAACCUGCCCUUGACUUUGGGAUAACUUCAGGAAACUGGGGCUAAUACCGGAUAUGAGCUCCUGCUGCAUGGUGGGGGUUGGAAAGUUUCGGCGGUUGGGGAUGGACUCGCGGCUUAUCAGCUUGUUGGUGGGGUAGUGGCUUACCAAGGCUUUGACGGGUAGCCGGCCUGAGAGGGUGACCGGCCACAUUGGGACUGAGAUACGGCCCAGACUCCUACGGGAGGCAGCAGUGGGGAAUAGUGCACAAUGGGCGGAAGCCUGAUGCAGCAACGCCGCGUGCGGGAUGACGGCCUUCGGGUUGUAAACCGCUUUCGCCUGUGACGAAGCGUGAGUGACGGUAAUGGGUAAAGAAGCACCGGCUAACUACGUG